Long non-coding RNA from Rhododendron vialii, 476 nucleotides. RefSeq lists it as uncharacterized. The transcript is spliced from 4 exons. The record is from RefSeq and is a predicted model, not a curated record. NCBI's taxonomy places the organism in Eukaryota, Viridiplantae, Streptophyta, Magnoliopsida, Ericales, Ericaceae.
AAGACGAUAUAAUGUGUUCUUUUUUAACCGGCACGAUACAAUGUGUUAAUAUUAGUUUUCAAUUCUAACUUCUAAUUUAAUGAUGAUUUUUUAUUCCAACUUCUGAUGCUGAACUAUAAGGACCAUUACAGACAUCACCGAGACACCGAUAGUGGGAUAACUUCUUGGGACUUUAACUAAUCAUGGACAAUCUAAGUGUCUAUGGCUAUCUCGACGGUAACUUGCAGAAAAUUACAAAGGUUACGUGUCUUCGAGAAAAAAAUGUAAUUGUGGUGAUUCAUGAUGAGCAAGAAGUUAAUAGUAUUUUUAUGCAUGGGGUAUGCCUACCAAUGCCAUUAUUACUUUACUCCCUAUGUACUGUAAGGGGUCAACGAAUUGAUAAAAGGGAUGUGGUGCCAUACAGUACAUACCUUUUGAGAAAAUGUAAUUCUCAUAUCAAUGUUGAAGGUUGUCAUGGAAUAAAAUUUAUUAAAUAU